This 459-nucleotide ribosomal RNA is filed under the name uncultured bacterium. Its description in RNAcentral is "partial 16S ribosomal RNA". It matches the Rfam family "Bacterial small subunit ribosomal RNA", at positions 338 to 795 of the family's 1533-position model. The record is from RNAcentral.
CCUACGGGUGGCAGCAGUGAGGAAUAUUGGUCAAUGGGCGGGAGCCUGAACCAGCCAAGCCGCGUGAGGGAAGAAGGUACAGCGUAUCGUAAACCUCUUUUGUCAGGGAACAAAGGCGGGGACUAGUCCCCGGAUGAGGGUACCUGAAGAAAAAGCAUCGGCUAACUCCGUGCCAGCAGCCGCGGUAAUAUGGAGGAUGCGAGCGUUAUCCGGAUUUAUUGGGUUUAAAGGGUGCGCAGGCGGCCUGUUAAGUCAGUGGUAAAAGCCCGGGGCUCAACCCCGGCGAGCCGUUGAAACUGGCGGGCGUGAGGAGAGUAGAGGUGGGCGGAAGGCGCGGUGUAGCGGUGAAAGGCUGAGAUAUCGCGAAGAACCCCGAGGGCGAAGGCAGCGUACUGGCUCGAAACUGACGCUGAGGCACGAAAGCGUGGGUAUCGAACAGGAUUAGAUACCCGGGUAGUC